UACGGAGGAUGCGAGCGUUAUCCGGAUUUAUUGGGUUUAAAGGGAGCGUAGGCCGGCUUUUAAGUCAGCUGUGAAAGUCCGCGGCUCAACCGUGGAAUUGCAGUUGAAACUGGAGGCCUUGAGUGCACACAGGGGUGCCGGAAUUCAUGGUGUAGCGGUGAAAUGCUUAGAUAUCAUGAAGAACUCCGAUCGCGAAGGCAAGUGUCCGGGGUGCAACUGACGCUGAGGCACGAAAGCGUGGGUAUCGAACAGG
Molecule: ribosomal RNA, 253 nt
Filed under: uncultured Prevotella sp.
Lineage: Bacteria; Pseudomonadati; Bacteroidota; Bacteroidia; Bacteroidales; Prevotellaceae
Description: partial 16S ribosomal RNA
Rfam family: Bacterial small subunit ribosomal RNA
Source: RNAcentral